UGGGGAAUUUUGGACAAUGGGGGAAACCCUGAUCCAGCCAUCCCGCGUGUGCGAUGAAGGCCUUCGGGUUGUAAAGCACUUUUGGCAGGAAAGAAACGGCAUGGGUUAAUACCCCGUGAAACUGACGGUACCUGCAGAAUAAGCACCGGCUAACUACGUGCCAGCAGCCGCGGUAAUACGUAGGGUGCAAGCGUUAAUCGGAAUUACUGGGCGUAAAGCGUGCGCAGGCGGUUCGAAAAGAAAGAUGUGAAAUCCCAGAGCUCAACUUUGGAACUGCAUUUUUAACUACCGGGCUAGAGUGUGUCAGAGGGAGGUGGCAUUCCGCGUGUAGCAGUGAAAUGCGUAGAUAUGCGGAGGAACACCGAUGGCGAAGGCAGCCUCCUGGGAUAACACUGACGCUCAUGCACGAAAGCGUGGGGAGCAAACAGG
RNAcentral lists this ribosomal RNA (429 nucleotides) under Acidobacteriota bacterium. RNAcentral describes it as "Acidobacteria bacterium partial 16S ribosomal RNA". It matches the Rfam family "Bacterial small subunit ribosomal RNA", at positions 355 to 776 of the family's 1533-position model. The record is from RNAcentral. Lineage: Bacteria; Pseudomonadati; Acidobacteriota.